AAAUAUACCUGGCAAGGGAGAUACCAUGAUCAUGUAGGUGGUUUUCCCAGGGUAAGACUUAUUCAUUGCACUCUAUGCAGAAAAUAAGAGACUGCUGAGUGCUUGUCCCUGGGUAGGACACCUGUGUCAAACCUGUCACCCAGGACUCAGGGACCAUUGCAGAAGA
Small nuclear RNA from Nannospalax galili (Upper Galilee mountains blind mole rat), 166 nucleotides. Its record names the gene U1. It matches the Rfam family "U1 spliceosomal RNA". Rfam says of the family: U1 is a small nuclear RNA (snRNA) component of the spliceosome (involved in pre-mRNA splicing). Its 5' end forms complementary base pairs with the 5' splice junction, thus defining the 5' donor site of an intron. The record is from Ensembl. NCBI's taxonomy places the organism in Eukaryota, Metazoa, Chordata, Mammalia, Rodentia, Spalacidae.